This is a long non-coding RNA of Pistacia vera, 377 nucleotides long. RefSeq lists it as uncharacterized. The record is from RefSeq and is a predicted model, not a curated record. The transcript has 4 exons. NCBI's taxonomy places the organism in Eukaryota, Viridiplantae, Streptophyta, Magnoliopsida, Sapindales, Anacardiaceae.
CUGCUGCAGAAUCAAGUGCCGUUCUCCAUUGCUUGUUUGUGUUCGGUGUUCUUGAAAUUGAAGAUGAAGGCCCUUUGUGCAAUUCAAUCUUCAGAGUUAUCUUCUAUUUUUAGAGGACCUUCUCAAUUACAAGGAGUCGACCUACUUUUCCUGAAAAGCUCUCUUUUGCCGAGCAAAGUUUGCUGAGUCUGGGGUAGAUGGAUCGUUCAGCUUAAGCGUAGUGUCUCCACCUUGUAGCAGCUGAAAAGGAGAAGCCAAGGUGUCUUAACUUUAUUCUUGAAGAAACAAGGUCUGAGCAAGGCCUUUGCUGCAAGAACCAUCAAUACAUCAGAUCUUUUUAUCGACCAUCUUGUCUCAAGGCUCCAUUCAGUUCAUAA